UUGACGUUAGCGGCGGACGGGUGAGUAACACGUGGGUAACCUACCUAUAAGACUGGAAUAACUCCGGGAAACCGGGGCUAAUGCCGGAUAACAUGUUGAACCGCAUGGUUCUACAGUGAAAGACGGUCUUGCUGUCACUUAUAGAUGGACCCGCGCCGUAUUAGCUAGUUGGUGGGGUAACGGCCUACCAAGGCGACGAUACGUAGCCGACCUGAGAGGGUGAUCGGCCACACUGGAACUGAGACACGGUCCAGACUCCUACGGGAGGCAGCAGUAGGGAAUCUUCCGCAAUGGGCGAAAGCCUGACGGAGCAACGCCGCGUGAGUGAUGAAGGUCUUCGGAUCGUAAAGCUCUGUUGUUAGGGAAGAACAAAUGUGUAAGUAACUGUGCACAUCUUGACGGUACCUAACCAGAAAGCCACGGCUAACUACGUGCCAGCAGCCGCGGUAAUACGUAGGUGGCAAGCGUUAUCCGGAAUUAUUGGGCGUAAAGCGCGCGUAGGCGGUUUUUUAAGUCUGAUGUGAAAGCCCACGGCUCAACCGUGGAGGGUCAUUGGAAACUGGAAAACUUGAGUGCAGAAGAGGAAAGUGGAAUUCCAUGUGUAGCGGUGAAAUGCGCAGAGAUAUGGAGGAACACCAGUGGCGAAGGCGGCUUUCUGGUCUGCAACUGACGCUGAUGUGCGAAAGCGUGGGGAUCAAACAGGAUUAGAUACCCUGGUAGUCCACGCCGUAAACGAUGAGUGCUAAGUGUUAGGGGGUUUCCGCCCCUUAGUGCUGCAGCUAACGCAUUAAGCACUCCGCCUGGGGAGUACGGUCGCAAGACUGAAACUCAAAGGAAUUGACGGGGACCCGCACAAGCGGUGGAGCAUGUGGUUUAAUUCGAAGCAACGCGAAGAACCUUACCAAAUCUUGACAUCCUUUGACCGCUCUAGAGAUAGAGUUUUCCUCUUCGGAGGACAAAGUGACAGGUGGUGCAUGGUUGUCGUCAGCUCGUGUCGUGAGAUGUUGGGUUAAGUCC
This 1017-nucleotide ribosomal RNA is filed under the name Staphylococcus pseudintermedius. Its description in RNAcentral is "bacterial SSU rRNA". It matches the Rfam family "Bacterial small subunit ribosomal RNA", at positions 86 to 1087 of the family's 1533-position model. Lineage: Bacteria; Bacillati; Bacillota; Bacilli; Caryophanales; Staphylococcaceae. The record is from RNAcentral.